RNAcentral lists this transfer RNA (58 nucleotides) under Salmo salar (Atlantic salmon). It matches the Rfam family "tRNA", at positions 8 to 63 of the family's 71-position model. From Rfam's summary of the family: Transfer RNA (tRNA) molecules are approximately 80 nucleotides in length. Lineage: Eukaryota; Metazoa; Chordata; Actinopteri; Salmoniformes; Salmonidae. The record is from Rfam by way of RNAcentral.
UGGCUCAGUUGGUAGAGCAUGGUGUUUGCAACGCCAGGGUUGUGAGUUUGAUUCCCAU